AGGGAUGCACCUUACUUUAAGUAGGGCUAAAGGAAGGAGACUUACUUAAUUUACACUGUUUUUUUAAGAUUAAUUUUGUAGGAGUGUUUUUUAGGGUGUGGUUCAUGCGUUCUACUUGUCUGGAGCUCCGGGGUUGAUAAGCACAAUGGAGCUUCUGUUGAAUGUUUAACACCUUACUGACUGACUGACUGAGCUAUAGGCGAGGGGAAGGCUGGUCUAUUAUCAGAGUUUAUGGCAGCAGACAGCCUAUAUUGAGGGAUGAUUUCAUUGGGUAAAAACUUAACUACUGUGUUGGUGGUUUCGUUUUUGGUAGCAAAUGCCUUAGUCUAUCUGGAGAAGGUGUCUACUAGUACUAGAAGGUAUUUGUACUUAGCCUGGUGUGGUUUGACUUCUCUAAACUGAAUUUCUUACUUUUUUCUUGGCGAGUUUUUUCAGAGACAGUGGCCUGGGCUGGGUUUAGGACUUUGUUUGGCAUUUACUUGGGCGCAGGUUGUGCACUGGAGAGCUGCUUAAUCUCUUAGGCUAUGAAGAUGGGGGAUCUUAAAAUGCCUCCGGAGGAGCUGAGGUAACUUUGCUCUUCUUAAAUGGGUGGUAGACUGUAGGUAACUGGUUUAAGUUCAGGGUAUGAAGAUUCCAGAGUCAGGAAGAAUCUACUAACUUUCCUGAUUUUUAUUGGCUCUGAGAUCUGAAGCCAGUUUUUCUGUUGUUGUUGAGUAUACGGGAUUGUCAGGCAGAUCUGGCUGUGGAAAGGAGACUGUGGGCAGCAAGUUUGGAGGCAUGACUGAAAGUCUGGCAGCGACCUGAGCUGCUGAAUCAGCUUUCUGGUUACUAUGGGCAACGGCCGUGUUUUCUUUUUGAUGUCCUUUGCAGUGGAUCACAGCUACCUGCUGAGACAGACAAGGGGAGGGGAUCCAGCGAUGGGAUCAGUCAGAUGCCUGCCUGGCCGCUCCCCGUGAGGGGACUUGGGCUCCUCUUAGCAUUGGCAGGCCGGUAUAAACUUCCGGCUCAGAUCGAGCUAUGCCUGAUGCUGCCUUAAGCCUUAUGAGGUCGCCAUGGAACCGCAGGUGAGGGUCUACUUGAACUCCGUAGCUUUCGCUGUGGAGCUACAAACUGGAGGACAAGCGCAAGCCCUUGUCCUCCCUCAUUCAUUCAUUAUUCACAAAGAGUUUAUAACAGUUUUUUUUCUUUCUUGGAGAUUCUUCAAGAAACUUGAACAAGAGAAAGAUGAGAGAUAGAAAAAGAGAGAGAGAGAGUGACCGGUCUGCCAGAAACCAGGACUCAGUCCUCCAGCAUCCUGGGAUGUGGACUGAGUCAAGGGAGGUCCCCUGUCAGGGCUACUUCCCUCCUAGAAAGAGACACAGAAGUGCCUAACAGAAAACCAGGGCUCUACCUUCCAGCGUCCUAGAGAAACGGGCAGAGUCAAAAGAGGGACACCCUCAUCAGGGCCGCUUCCCUCUUACAAGAACUGAAGUCAAAUCUGACCUACCUGACCUCGGGGUCAGAAGUCGAGGACUCAGAGGUGGAAUUUUUAUGGGCACCCACACGGUAGUCGAUCCGCUCUCCUCUGGAAGACGGUCACCUUUCGGGGACCUGAAAAUUUUUUUUUAGGUGACACCCCCCCUACAAGCCGGCCGUCCUUCCGGGGGAGCCCGGAGCGAGCCCGGCUCUCGCCUGGUGGUGUUUCUCACUCGGGCCUCCAAAUGUUGUACUUGAGCGAGUUAGAGAAAAUGCCACAAUUUGACAUGAAUUAAGUCUGUUUAUUUAGCUGGUGGCCAAGAGAUGGCUAACUCUUAAAGUUCUCUUGGCCCCGAAGAAGGGGCUAGAUUUUCUUUUAUACUUCAGUUUAGAAAGGGGAAAGGGGUGUAGUUAAAAGAAUUUUACAGAAGUAAAGUAGGCAAAAAAGUUAAAAGGAUAAAUUGUUACAGGAAAGUAAACAGAUCUAGGUCUAAGGGCUUUAAGACUAUUACAAAGUGAUAGACGUGGGGCUUUAGGCAUUAUCAAUCGGACAAAUUCCUGGGAACUGCGGAUAUUGCUCGCCACAGUAUCUUAUCAGUUAAUUGCACUCUUAGAUGUGCUAAGAGUCAGCUUGCACAAGUUAAGUCCUUGAGGAAGGGGCUGCCAGUGAAAAAGCCAAGAUAAAGUCUGUCUAGCUCUCUUAGCUAAAAGAAAGUCAAUUCAGGUAGAAACAAGGCUAAGGGAAUAAAAGAAAAGGAAAGUCUACGAACAAAGUUAAUAAAAACAAGGUUAGGCAUUACAGAUGGGGUCAUCCUUAUAUUCAGCACAGUGUUUGUCCUGAAACUUCAAUGGAGUGCUCCUAGUUUGAUAACUUGGACCAUGCCAAAUAAAUUGAAUUUCUCUUUCUUAACAACAGAUGUUUGAAUACAGCCCCGUGUCCCUCUCUGCUCCUUCCUGCCUUCCUCCUCUCCUCUUCCUUCCCUCCCUUUUCAAGAGCAGGGUUUGCAAGCUUUUACUUGAAAGCAUCAGAUAGAUAGUAAAUAUUUUAGACUUCGUGGGCCAUACAGUCUCUUGUAGUAGUUACUCAACUCUGUCACCCAUAGAAUGAAAGCAGCUGAUAUAGGUUGAAUAUGUGUCCCCUCCCAAAUCUCAUGUUGCAAUGUAAUCCCCAGUGUUAGAGGUGGGGCCUGGUGGGAAGAGAUUGGAUCACGGGGGUGGAUUUCUCAUGAAUGAUUUAGCGUCAUCCUUUUGGUCCUGUCCUUGCAACAGUGAGUGAGUUCUUGCAAGAUCUGGUUGUUUACGAGUGUGUAGCACCUCCCUCCUUACUCUCUUGCUCCCACUUCAGCUUCUGCCAUGAUUGUAAGUUUCCUGAGGCCUCCACAGAAGCUCAGUAGAUGUCAGUGUCAUGCUCCCUGUACAGCCUACAAAACUGUGAGCCAAUUAAACCUCUUUUCUUUAUACAUUACCCAGUCUCAGGUAUUUUUUAUAGCAUGAGAGAACAGCCUAAUCCAGCAGCCAUAGACAAUAUGUAGCAAAUGGACAUGGCUGUGUUUCAAUAAAACUUUAUUGACAAAAACAUGUGCAGGCAGGUCAGAUUUGGCCCAUGGGCCAUAGUGUCCCAACCUCUGCUCUGGAAUAUUCUCUUUAGCCUGGAUGGACAUCUCUAGGUUUUUUUUUUUUUUUUUGGUGAGAAAAAGUCUCACUGUUGCCCAGGCUGGAGUGCAGUGUUGCAAUCUUUGUUUGCCACAACCUCUGCCUCCUGGGUUCAAGCAAUUCUCCUGCCUCAGCCUCCCAAGUAGCUGGGAUUACAGGCACCUGCCACCACACCUGGCUAAUUUUUGUAUUUUUUAAUAGGAGAUAUAGGAGAUAAUUCUGCGAACAGAAAUUCCUGAGAACUGAGAUGGGGGAAAUCGCUGGUAUUAGAAGGGUGAAAAGGUCAGUAAUUAAGGCUACGACUGUGCUCUUAGAGGCAAAAGAAGAAAAUGAGACUGCCAGGCAUGAAUAAUGAGAAAUCUUUGAUGGAAUUAGCCAUGCAGAACAGAUACUAAAUGCAUCCUCAUUCUUCUCAUAGUCAAAAGUUUUUGCUGAAGCUGGAUGGGAAAAAGAGAAUCCCAUUUGACUAAGUAUAAAAGAGGGGAUUUUAGAGAAGGUCUCAGAAGAAAGAGAUGUGGGGGUUUGGUGAAACUCACCAGAGGCUGAACCCUCUCCAGCAUAACACAGGGAUUGGGAGGAGCGGGGUGGCAUUAGGCCAGGUGCAUAGCCCAGUGCUGCUCUCUCUGGACUUUCUGCUCUCUCUGGACUUGUUUGCUAGCUGAGCUCAUCCAUUUGCAUAAUUUUCAGUGCCAUUUCUCAGCUGAUGAGUCCUGAACUUUUGUCUUGAGGCUAGACUUCUCCUUCAAACAGCAGUCUUAAACACUCAACUUCUUUCUUGUUUUUUCCACUUGUCAACUCAUGAAAACCUCAACCUUGUUAAAUCCAAAGCCAAACUCAUGGCUUGGAGUGGUAGGUGAUGGCUGUAAUGCCAGUGCUAUGGGAGGCUGAGGUGGGAGGAUUACUUGAGGUCAGGAGUUUGAAGCCAGCUUGGAAAACACAGUGAGACUCCCUAACUAUAAAAAAAAAAUAAAAAAAAAAAAAAAGAUAGGCAUGGUGAAGUGCAUCUGUAGGAUCUGUAGUCCUGUUACAUGGCAGGCUGAGGCAGGAGGAUCACUUGAGCCCAGGAGUUUGAGGCUGCAAAGAGCUAUGAUUGCACCAAUGCACUCCAGCCUGGGUGACAGAGCCAGAGUCCCUGUCUUAAAAAAAAAACAAAAUCAAAACUCUUUUUCCUCCUCCUUCUCCAUGGGCUCUGUCCGUGCCAUCUCUGUUCUGUAAAUGGCUCCACCCCCUGCUGAGCUGCUCAAGGUAGUCAUAACUCAUGUGCUGUGCUAACUCUACUUUUGCCCUCUUCUCCAGUCAGAAGUCCUCUGAUUCUAAACUUUAUCCAACUUGUCCACUCUCUCUAUCUUCACUGUCAUUAUCUUUGCCUAGGACACCGCUAUCCCAGCUGGGCUACAGCGGCAGCCUCCUAACUGGUCUUAACUGGUCCUCUGCACCUGCUCUCCAUGCUCAGCAAUCCAUUUCCUACCUAGCAGCUUCAGUGAUCUUAAGGUGUCCAUUGAGUCUCUUUCCUGCCCAUGGCACAUAGAAUAAAAUCGAGACCCCGAGUCUUCUGCCUGUUCCUACCAUCUCUCCAGCUCUCUCCUAUCUCCUCCCCUUGGCCUACUCUAUUUCAGCCACUCUGUCCUCCUUUUGUUGUCUUCGACUUUCAAACCUUUCUCCACUACUGGGCCUUUGCAUUUGCUGCUUCAGCCUGGAAUGAUUUUCCUCUGCACCUCCCCAAAUUAGACCAUCCUUUAGGUCUCAGCUAAAAUGGUGCUUCCAGACAGCUCUUUCCUAACCCCUUUAUAAAGUGGACUUCCCUGCUCGUCUCCACCUUAACCUCAUUAUUUCUUGUUGUGGGAACUCAGGGACCCCAAAUGGAGGGACUGGCUGGAGCUGUGGCAGAGGAACAUAAAUUGUGAAGAUUUCAUGGACAUUUAUCAGUUCCCAAAUAAUACUUUUAUAUUUUCUUAUGCCUGUCUUUAUUUUAAUCUCUUAAUCCUGUUAUAUUCAUAACCUGAGGAUGUACAUCACCUCAGGACCACUGUGAUAAUUGUGUUAACUGUACAAAUUGAUUGUAAAACAUGUGUGUUUCAACAAUAUGAAAUCAGUGAACCUUGAAAAAGAAGAGAAUAACAGCAAUUUUUAGGGAACAAGGGAAGACAACCAUAAGGUCUGACUUCCUGCAGGGUUGGGCAAAAAGAGCCAUAUGUUUCUCCUUGCACAGAGUCUAUAAAUGAACGUGCAAGUAGGACAGAUAUUGCUAAAUUCUUUUCCUAGCAAGGAAUAUUAAUAUUAAUACCCUGGGAAAGGAAUGCAUUCCUGGGGGGAGGUCUAUAAAUGGCCGCUCUGGGAAUGUCUGUCUUAUUCAGUUGAGAUAAGGACAGAGAUACGCCCUGGUCUCCUGCAGUACCCAAAGGCUUACUAGGGUGGGGAAAAACUCUGCCCUGGUAAAUUUGUGGUCAGACUGGUUCUUUGCUCUCGAACCCUGUUUUCUUUUGUUUAAGAUGUUUAUUAAGACAAUACGUGCACCACUGAACAUAGACCCUUAUCAGUGGUUCUGCUUUUGCCCUUUGCUUUGUGAUCUUUGCUGGACCUUUAUCAGUAGUUCUGCUUUUGCCCUUUGUCCUGUUCCCUCAGAAGCAUGUGAUCUUUCUUAGACCCUUAGUAGUAGUUCUGCUUUUUGCCCUUUGAAGCAUGUGAUCUUUGUACCUACUCCCUGUUCUUACAGCCCCUCCCCUUUUGAAACCCUUAAUAAAAACUUGCUGGUCUGAGACUCAGCAGGCAGCACAGACUUACUGAUAUGUAAUGUCACUCCCAGCGGCCCAGCUGUAAAAUUCCUCUCUUUGCAGUGUCUCUCUUUAUUUCUCGGCUGGUUGACACUUAUGGAAAAUAGAAAGAACCUACGUUGAAAUAUUGGGGGCAGGUUCCAUCAAUACUUCUUUCAUGGAUUUACUUAUUUUUUGUCUCCCUCCUUACCCUAGAAACUCCUGGAGGGCAGAGCUGUGUCUGCCAUCUUCAUCAUUGCAUUACCACCACCCAGCACAGUGCCUGGCACAAAAGAGUUGCUCAAUAAAUAAAUCAGGAUGAAUGGAUAAAUACAUGGAUAGGCACUUUGAACUACAGAUGAGUUUAAAUACUUUGUGUUUUUCUUAGUCAAACAUGUGCAAUUAAGCAUGUGAUAAAUGAUAUGAUGACCGCA
Molecule: long non-coding RNA, 6292 nt
Organism: Homo sapiens (human)
Lineage: Eukaryota; Metazoa; Chordata; Mammalia; Primates; Hominidae
Exons: 2
Source: RefSeq, a predicted model, not a curated record